Molecule: ribosomal RNA, 401 nt
Filed under: uncultured bacterium
Lineage: Bacteria
Description: bacterial SSU rRNA
Rfam family: Bacterial small subunit ribosomal RNA
Source: RNAcentral
GACGAACGCUGGCGGCGUGCUUAACACAUGCAAGUCGAGCGGUAAGGCCCUUUCGGGGGUACGACGAGCGGCGAACGGGUGGAGUAACACGUGGGUGGACCUCGCCCUCCAGCUCUGGGAGUAAGACCUGGGAAACGUAGGGUCGUAAUAACUGGAUAUGACUCCACGGUGCAUGUCGUGGGGUGGAAAGCCUUGUGCGGCUGAGGAUGGGCCCGGCGGCCUAUUAGCUUGUUGGUGGGGUGAUGGCCUACCAAGGCGACGACGGGUAGCCGGCCUGAGAGGGCGACCGGCCACACUGGGACUGAGACACGGCCCAGACUCCUACGGGAGGCAGCAGUGGGGAAUCUUGCGCAAUGGGCGAAAGCCUGACGCAGCGACGCCGCGUGAGGGAUGACGGCCUU